Long non-coding RNA from Bubalus bubalis (water buffalo), 222 nucleotides. RefSeq lists it as uncharacterized. The record is from RefSeq and is a predicted model, not a curated record. The transcript is spliced from 3 exons. NCBI's taxonomy places the organism in Eukaryota, Metazoa, Chordata, Mammalia, Artiodactyla, Bovidae.
CUUCUGAAUGCCGGCAGAGGACAUCAGGCACCCAGAAAAGCAACCCAACUCUUCGAAAGGAGAGGGAAAUGCAAAGACAUUUUUCAAGAUAAUGAGAGAGACUGGAUUCUGCCAACCCAGAGAUGGGACUGGGAACCAAAGACAAGCACCAGGCUCUUGAGAGAACAUAGGUUUGCUGCUGCUGCUGCUAAGUUCCUUCAGUCAUGUCGGACUCUGUGUGAC